Molecule: ribosomal RNA, 379 nt
Filed under: uncultured cyanobacterium
Lineage: Bacteria; Bacillati; Cyanobacteriota
Description: bacterial SSU rRNA
Rfam family: Bacterial small subunit ribosomal RNA
Source: RNAcentral
CGCAAGCCUGACGGAGCAACGCCGCGUGAGGGAGGAAGGCCUGUGGGUUGUAAGCCUCUUUUCUCUGGGAAGAAGACCUGACGGUACCAGAGGAAUCAGCAUCGGCUAACUCCGUGCCAGCAGCCGCGGUAAGACGGAGGAUGCAAGCGUUAUCCGGAAUUAUUGGGCGUAAAGCGUCCGUAGGCGGCUCAUCAAGUCUGCUGUCAAAGACUACAGCUCAACUGUGGGUAGGCAGUGGAAACUGAAGAGCUAGAGUGUGGUAGGGGUAGAGGGAAUUCCCAGUGUAGCGGUGAAAUGCGUAGAUAUUGGGAAGAACACCAGUGGCGAAGGCGCUCUACUGGGCCAAGACUGACGCUGAGGGACGAAAGCUAGGGGAGCG